GCGUAACACGUAUCCAACCUGCCGUCUACUCUUGGACAGCCUUCUGAAAGGAAGAUUAAUACAAGAUGGCAUCAUGAGUCCGCAUGUUCACAUGAUUAAAGGUAUUCCGGUAGACGAUGGGGAUGCGUUCCAUUAGAUAGUAGGCGGGGUAACGGCCCACCUAGUCUUCGAUGGAUAGGGGUUCUGAGAGGAAGGUCCCCCACAUUGGAACUGAGACACGGUCCAA
Molecule: ribosomal RNA, 226 nt
Filed under: uncultured bacterium
Lineage: Bacteria
Description: partial 16S ribosomal RNA
Rfam family: Bacterial small subunit ribosomal RNA
Source: RNAcentral